This is a long non-coding RNA of Mytilus trossulus (common blue mussel), 276 nucleotides long. RefSeq lists it as uncharacterized. The record is from RefSeq and is a predicted model, not a curated record. NCBI's taxonomy places the organism in Eukaryota, Metazoa, Mollusca, Bivalvia, Mytilida, Mytilidae. The transcript is spliced from 3 exons.
GUUACAACUGCUUGUCUUGCAGCAAAAUUUGACAAAACAAAUGGAGAUUGUGAAUUUCACCAAGUAUAUAACGUACAUACACCUAUUAUGGUGGUGAAUGAAAACAGCAGUAUUGUCGUUGUAAAGAGUGAAUUAAAUGUUGAUGUUUUAAUUGGGAGCUGGAUGAAUUAUGGAGCACUAGAUUGCUAUACAGGGAGUAGUCAUGACUACAAAGGAACACACAACAAAACAAUUUCUAACAGGACAUGUCAAGGAUGGAACACAAAUUACCCACAU